UUAGCACAAUGGGCGCAAGCCUGAUGCAGCCAUGCCGCGUGUAUGAAGAAGGCCUUCGGGUUGUAAAGUACUUUCAGCAGUGAGGAAGGUGGUAGUGUUAAUAGCACUAUCAUUUGACGUUAGCUGCAGAAGAAGCACCGGCUAACUCCGUGCCAGCAGCCGCGGUAAUACGGAGGGUGCGAGCGUUAAUCGGAAUUACUGGGCGUAAAGCGCAUGCAGGUGGUUUGUUAAGUCAGAUGUGAAAGCCCGGGGCUCAACCUCGGAAUUGCAUUUGAAACUGGCAGACUAGAGUACUGUAGAGGGGGUAGAAUUUCAGGUGUAGCGGUGAAAAUGCGUAGAGAUCUGAAGGAAUACCGGUGGCGAAGGCGGCCCCCUGGACAGAUACUGACACUCAGAUGCGAAAGCGUGGGGAGCAAACAGGAUUAGAUACCCUGGUAG
RNAcentral lists this ribosomal RNA (438 nucleotides) under uncultured bacterium. Its description in RNAcentral is "bacterial SSU rRNA". It matches the Rfam family "Bacterial small subunit ribosomal RNA", at positions 363 to 793 of the family's 1533-position model. The record is from RNAcentral.